GCAUUGGUGGUUCAGUGGUAGAAUUCUCACCUCCCAUGUGGGAGACCCGAUCUGAUUCCCGGCCAAUGCA
This 70-nucleotide transfer RNA is filed under the name Danio rerio (zebrafish). It matches the Rfam family "tRNA". From Rfam's summary of the family: Transfer RNA (tRNA) molecules are approximately 80 nucleotides in length. Their secondary structure includes four short double-helical elements and three loops (D, anti-codon, and T loops). Lineage: Eukaryota; Metazoa; Chordata; Actinopteri; Cypriniformes; Danionidae. The record is from Rfam by way of RNAcentral.